Molecule: ribosomal RNA, 247 nt
Filed under: uncultured bacterium
Lineage: Bacteria
Description: partial 16S ribosomal RNA
Rfam family: Bacterial small subunit ribosomal RNA
Source: RNAcentral
UACGGUAGGGUGCAAGCGUUAAUCGGAAUUACUGGGCGUAAAGCGUGCGCAGGCGGCUAUGCAAGACAGAUGUGAAAUCCCCGGGCUCAACCUGGGAACUGCAUUUGUGACUGCAUAGCUAGAGUAACGGUAGAGGGGGAUGGAAUUCCGCGUGUAGCAGUGAAAUGCGUAGAUAUGCGGAGGAACACCGAUGGCGAAGGCAAUCCCCUGGACCUGUACUGACGCUCAAUGCACGAAAGCGUGGGGA